This 253-nucleotide ribosomal RNA is filed under the name uncultured bacterium. Its description in RNAcentral is "partial 16S ribosomal RNA". It matches the Rfam family "Bacterial small subunit ribosomal RNA", at positions 524 to 776 of the family's 1533-position model. The record is from RNAcentral.
UACGAAGGGUGCAAGCGUUACUCGGAAUUACUGGGCGUAAAGCGUGCGUAGGUGGUUUGUUAAGUCUGUUGUGAAAGCCCCGGGCUCAACCUGGGAAUGGCAAUGGAUACUGGCAGGCUAGAGUGCGGUAGAGGGUAGUGGAAUUCCCGGUGUAGCGGUGAAAUGCGUAGAGAUCGGGAGGAACACCAGUGGCGAAGGCGGCUCACUGGCCCGGUACUGACGCUGAGGCGCGAAAGCGUGGGGAGCAAACAGG